This 220-nucleotide long non-coding RNA is filed under the name Mytilus galloprovincialis (Mediterranean mussel). Lineage: Eukaryota; Metazoa; Mollusca; Bivalvia; Mytilida; Mytilidae. The record is from RNAcentral.
UUUAAAUAUUUUUUUUAUUUUACUAUUUAUCUAUUCAUUUCAGAGUUAUCAUUUUUAUUUUAAAUGCAAUAACGAAGUAAUGUAAUGAAUUCUAUUCAUAAAUAAACAAUGAGUAGUACAAUAUACCGAUUAACUUUGGUAUAUUUAUUCGUUUCAUUUGGAAAUUUGAAAACUAGCAUAAUCGCCAAACAACCAAUCAGGUGAAAUAGUAUCGUUUCUG